UCCGGUUUGUCACCGGCAGUCUCCUUAGAGUUCCCGCCAUUACGCGCUGGCAACUAAGGACAAGGGUUGCGCUCGUUACGGGACUUAACCCAACAUCUCACGACACGAGCUGACGACAGCCAUGCAGCACCUGUCUCCUGGCUCCCGAAGGCACUCCUCUAUCUCUAAAGGAUUCCAGGGAUGUCAAGGGGCGGUAAGGUUCUUCGCGUUGCAUCGAAUUAAACCACAUGCUCCACCGCUUGUGCGGGCCCCCGUCAAUUCAUUUGAGUUUUAACCUUGCGGCCGUACUCCCCAGGCGGUCGACUUAGUGCGUUAGCUGCGCCACUAAAGACUCUAAGGUCUCCAACGGCUAGUCGACAUCGUUUACGGCGUGGACUAC
This 379-nucleotide unclassified non-coding RNA is filed under the name uncultured Moraxellaceae bacterium. RNAcentral describes it as "contains 16S-23S intergenic spacer region". The record is from RNAcentral. Lineage: Bacteria; Pseudomonadati; Pseudomonadota; Gammaproteobacteria; Moraxellales; Moraxellaceae.